AGAUAAAAAAAUGUGACAAGUAAUACUGUUUUAGGCCAAGGGGAGAUUUUUUAUUUUUUUUUCAGUCAAUAGCAUAUAGUGACUUUAUGCACUAUUUGUAUUUUAAAUGUCAAUAUAUGUAAGCUCAAAUCGCAUGCAUUAUUGUACAUUAAUCUAGGACUCAGGAUGUAUGUCAAUAUAUGUAGCGUAAAUCAUAUACUUGUAAAAAUUAUAUGUAAUUUCUUCUUUUUGUUGUUGUUGCUUUUGAUGGAAAUUGGAGUACACAUUAUCCUCCUCAAGAUUUACGUACACAUUAUCCUCCGCAGAACCUCACCCGUAGAAUUACAUUGAGCAUGAUUUGUUGCUUUUGAUGAAACUUAUAUUUGGCACACAUAUGUAGGUCAACUCAGAUUGGUGUCACUUUCAAGAUGUUAAGGAAUUGAUCAGUUUCUAAAACUGAAAUAAGAAGGUAUACUUCCAAAUUCAUCCCACUGUAUAAUUGGACACUAACAGCAAAUAUAAAUAUGGUCAAUAUGAUAUCGAGGUAACAUCGCGCACCAAAACUUAGACAUAUGAAAAGAUAUCCUUUAACAUUCUCGUCUCUGGUGAGAUUUGAACCCUGAUCUAUGUUGGUAUUCAUCUGAAGUGGUCAGUAGACCACAUCUUUAAUAGUAGAGGAGGUUAUAGUACCACCACAAAAAUGGGAUAAGAUAACUCUUCACAACAGAGCCACAUAGGCCUAAGCUGUAGCUAAGGUGCAUUUCAAAGGCAACAGAGCUAACAACUGGUAAGGUUGAAAGUGAUGGAAUCAACAACCAACACUGAAAAUUGAUGGAUAAACUUGCAUAAACCAUGUAUAUAUAGUGAAUUAUCAAGCUACAUAAUGAAGUGGGUUGAGAACCGUCACGUCUCAUCACCCAUCCACAUAACAAGUCUUGUUUUAGCACUUUCCAGACAAAAAUACAGUUAAAAUACUGAGGUGUGAAUCAACAAAACAACCAGCCCCAAUCCACAUUGAAAAGAGGACCAAAUCAGAGAUUUGCAGGUGUCUAUGUUAACAAGCUGAUGGUAAUAACCCACGACGGCUGGUUGCGAAAACAUCCCUUUUAAACCCAUGGCAACCUAUAAAGCAGAGGUAUUAUGGGGAAAGAGACACAACAAGCACCGUUUUCUUUACUGUCCAAUUACAGAUCAAAUUUGGCAAUUGUUUUGGAACUUUCUGGGAGUCCAAUGGUCCUGCCACACAACACUGCUGAUAUUUUGAGAAGCUGGAUCAGGGCAGGUUCAGACAGAAGAAAGAUAACAUGGUGGAACACUAUACAAGUUUGUAGAUGGACAGUUGGGAAAGAGAGGAACUUGAGAUGCUUUAAAGAUAAGAACAAUCACAUCCAGAAGAUAAAACGCUAACAACAUUUUUUGUUUUACUUUUGGUGUAGCAUCGAACUUUCAGAUAAAGCUUCAAUCUAUCUUAGAGCUCCUAGAAUUCCUAUAGAUUUAGACAGGGCUAUACUUAAGUCUUCACACUUUUGCACAAUGUACACUGCACAUUCUUGGUGCUGUUUAUGAAAACAAACCUACCAUUUCAUAAGAAAAACAUCACCUAAAGAAACUAGAGUAGCAAGUUCAUAGCAAUUGAGAGUGUACUACCAAAUUAGGGAUUAUCUUUCUAGUUUUUUCCACUGCAACGCAACUAAUUGUAGGAAGGGACAUCAGUUAUUAAUCAAACCAGAAAGAAAACUAUGAAAAAUGUUGCCAUGUGUUACAAUAGCAACAACCCUGCUUCACAGUGAUAUAGCUCCAACACUUUAUAAAGACGAAACAAUCCAUAAAGUGUUUAAGCAAUUCAAUCAUUCGACGAAAACACAUUAUUACAAACAGAUUCAGCAACUCUUUAAGCAAUUACAUCACAAGGGUAAAACUACAAAACCAUUGUAAAUCAAACUCCUGGAAUUGAGAAAGAAGAAAUCAAUAAAGUGUUUAAGCAAUUCAAUCAUUCGACGAAAACACAUUAUUACAAACAGAUUCAGCAACUCUUUAAGCAAUUACAUCACAAGGGUAAAACUACAAAACCAUUGUAAAUCAAACUCCUGGAAUUGAGAAAGAAGAAAUCAAUAAAGUGUUUAAGCAAUUCAAUCAUUCGACGAAAACACAUUAUUACAUACAGAUUCGGCAACUCUUUUAAGCAAUUACAUCACAAGGGAAAAACUACAAAACCAUUGUAAUCAGAUUCAUGGAAAUGAGAAAGAAGCACUAGUACAAGUAUGUCAACUAUCUCCAGCUUAGCAAACAAACAUAUUAUCAGCACCAUAAUAGUGUAAUCUAUUAUCUGAUUAAGAUAAAAAAGUUAACUAAUAAUCCAACAUAACCAAAGAACUAUCAAAACUGUAAAUUCCAUAGCUUGAUCAGCACAAAACCAAAAAGACUAAAACUUAUUGAAGAUCAAGCUAAGGGUUUACGCUUUUCGUCCGUAUCGAAGAUAGCAAAUAGCGCCAACCACUGCAACUGCAACAACAGAUGAUGCAGCAACCACUGGCAAAUUUACAUCACCGCCAAGGAAACCAACUUGAUCAUCACCAACAGGAAUGCCAUUAAUAUUGCUAGCAACAAAUCUUUCAGCAAUAACCCUUUCCUUCUCCAUCAAUUUCUUCUCCAACUCUGCAGCUUUCUCAAUCAUCUCCUUAACCCUCUUCUCUAAUUCCUCCUUCACCAAAUGAAGCUCCUUCUUCUCCUCUUCCCAUUCCUCAUUGUUCACAACAGUACCCUUCAAUUCCUCAAUAUGCUUCUUUAAAACCCUAAUUUCUUCUUCCUUCCCUUCAACUUCUUCUUUCUGAUUGUUUCCACUAGCUUCUAACUUCUCCAAUUUUGACAACAACAGAUUCUUUUCACUCUCAACAGCCUCCAGCUUCACACUCUUCUCAUUUUCAGUACUCUUCAAUCCCUCCAAUGCCGAUUUCACCCCUGAUAACUCAGAAUUAGAACCUUGUAGAUCAUUCAUAGCAGUGAUGAGAUCAUGUUGCAGUUGAGAUACCUCCCCUUCCAGCUGAGAAGCUCUAGCGGCUACUGAUCCUAAAGCCUUGUUCUCCGACUCGAAAUUCUCCACCUUCUUCAACAACUCAUCCUUUUCGCUCUGAGAUUCCUCGAUUGAACUCUUGAGCUUCUCGAUUCUCUGUUUGAUCACAUCGUUCUCGUGAAGAAGCUGAGUUUUCUCUUGCUCAAGCGCCGCUAUCUUCUGUUUCAGUGCAGAAGUUUUCGACGCAGCAUCGGUAGUUUCGUCAACGGCGAUCUCCACCGGCGCGUCGUCGAAAACCUCGCCAUUGGUAACGGUAUCAUCCGCCAUAAUCAAACCUGAAAAUAAUCAGACAAACAGUAAACGGAUUAAUCAAAAAAACUGAGCUUCAAUGAACUCCAAGCAGCCAAAAUUAGGGUUUUUGAUUGUAGAAAAUGAGAAUAAUUAGAAAAGAUAUCUUUUUGUGGAAUAUAAAAUCUUGUCGGAAAAGAAAAAGAAGAAUAAAAUGAAAUCUCACUUUUCGG
This 3510-nucleotide long non-coding RNA is filed under the name Solanum tuberosum (potato). RNAcentral describes it as "long non-coding RNA (STUB_LNC007705)". The record is from RNAcentral. Lineage: Eukaryota; Viridiplantae; Streptophyta; Magnoliopsida; Solanales; Solanaceae.